Molecule: unclassified non-coding RNA, 421 nt
Filed under: soil metagenome
Description: partial contains 5.8S ribosomal RNA, internal transcribed spacer 2, and large subunit ribosomal RNA
Rfam family: 5.8S ribosomal RNA (bases 1-120)
Source: RNAcentral
GAUGAAGAACGUAGCGAAAUGCGAUACGUAAUGUGAAUUGCAGAAUUCAGUGAAUCAUCGAAUCUUUGAACGCAUAUUGCGCUCUUUGGUAUUCCGAAGAGCAUGCUUGUUUGAGUAUCAGUAAACACCUCAACCUCUUCUUGAUUUUUCAAAAGGAGGGUGUACUUGAGCUAUCCCAACAACCUUUACCGGUCGGCGGGCGGCUUGAAAUGCAGGUGCAGCUGGACUUUUAUCUGAGCUAAAAGCAUAUCUAUUUAGUCCUCGUCAAACAGGAUUAUUACUUUUGCUGCAGCUAACAUAAAGGAUAAUUGUCCUCUUUGCUGACUGAUGCAGGAUUUUACGACACUUUAUGUGUUGUUCAACUCGAUCUCAAAUCAAGUAAGACUACCCGCUGAACUUAAGCAUAUCAAUAAGCGGAGGA